UUAGUUGGUGGAGCGAUUUGUCUGGUUUAUUCCGAUAACGAACGAGACUCCAGCCUACUAAAUAGUGGCGAGAUACGUCCCUGUCUCGCAAACUUCUUAGAGGGAUAAUCGGUGUUCAGCCGAAUGAAAAGGAGCAAUAACAGGU
This 145-nucleotide ribosomal RNA is filed under the name Metazoa environmental sample. RNAcentral describes it as "partial small subunit ribosomal RNA". It matches the Rfam family "Eukaryotic small subunit ribosomal RNA", at positions 1294 to 1461 of the family's 1831-position model. The record is from RNAcentral. Lineage: Eukaryota; Metazoa.